This is a non-coding RNA of Pelobates cultripes (western spadefoot toad), 694 nucleotides long. The record is from the annotation of a GenBank genome assembly. Lineage: Eukaryota; Metazoa; Chordata; Amphibia; Anura; Pelobatidae.
GUAACAAACACCACACAGUUUGCUGUUUAUGUGAGCAAUGGCCAUCGGAGGUUUACCACCAAAUCUUUAAUAUUAGAUAUGUGCUUAUGUCUCUGUGUGAGAUUUGGUAUUUAAAACUCGUUCAUGGGAUAAUCUUUUUGCUAUAUGCUGUUAGCAGCGCCAGCCAAUGAUCAUUUAUUUUUGACUAUUGUAAUUUACACAGUGAUAGGACGGACCUUUAAUGAGUAUUAAACACGCAGAAGGAGAUUCUGUUCCAGCUGAAACCUUACUUGGAACAUUUCUUUGUGAAAAGACACAUCAUGAGCAGAAAACCUCUGGCAUGAUGGUUCUAAAAAAAAAAAUCUAAUGGAAAUGAAUUACAUUUGCCAAUUAGGCUUUUUAUGCUCUAUUUUAAUGUGACUUUUGUCUGUUACACAUAUAGAAAGAAUAAAAUACAAAUCCUAAAAUCCACUGCUAUGCAAAGAUAGAACAGAAACACGAGGGAUUGGGGCCUGACAGUCGAGCGAGCAGGAUGCAUGCUGAAGUAACUCCUCGGCAUAUUCUGUGAAAUUGGCCCAUAACUCGUGAUAUUUUGAAAAUUACCUGCUGAAUUUGAAUUUGAACUCUGGACUGAUUUUUACAGCUCUGCUGAGAGUCCUGACAUUUAGUGCUGCCUGCUAUCCAUUCAACAUAUCGUUGGUUACCCGAGCCUGAU